GAUGAACGCUGGCGGCGUGCCUAAUACAUGCAAGUCGAGCGAACAGACGAGGAGCUUGCUCCUCUGACGUUAGCGGCGGACGGGUGAGUAACACGUGGAUAACCUACCUCUAAGACUGGGAUAACUUCGGGAAACCGGAGCUAAUACCGGAUAAUAUAUUGAACCGCAUGGUUCAAUAGUGAAAGACGGUUUUGCUGUCACUUCUAGAUGGAUCCGCGCCGGAUUAGCUAGGUGGUAAGGUAACGGCUUACCAAGGCAACGAUGCGUGGCCGACCUGAGAGGGUGAUCGGCCACACUGGAACUGAGACACGGUCCAGACACCGACGGGAGGCAGCAGUAGGGAAUCUUCCGAAAUGGGCGAAAGCCUGACGGAGCAACGCCGCGUGAGUGAUGAAGGUCUUCGGAUCGUAAAACUCUGUUAUUAGGGAAGAACAAAUGUGUAAGUAACUAUGCACGUCUUGACGGUACCUAAUCAGAAAGCAACGGCUAACUACGUG
This 497-nucleotide ribosomal RNA is filed under the name uncultured bacterium. RNAcentral describes it as "partial 16S ribosomal RNA". It matches the Rfam family "Bacterial small subunit ribosomal RNA", at positions 28 to 507 of the family's 1533-position model. The record is from RNAcentral.